RNAcentral lists this ribosomal RNA (496 nucleotides) under uncultured bacterium. RNAcentral's name for it is "partial 16S ribosomal RNA". It matches the Rfam family "Bacterial small subunit ribosomal RNA", at positions 28 to 507 of the family's 1533-position model. The record is from RNAcentral.
GAUGAACGCUGGCGGCGUGCCUAAUACAUGCAAGUCGAGCGAACAGAUGAGGAGCUUGCUCCUCUGACGUUAGCGGCGGACGGGUGAGUAACACGUGGAUAACCUACCUAUAAGACUGGGAUAACUUCGGGAAACCGGAGCUAAUACCGGAUAAUAUAUUGAACCGCAUGGUUCAAUAGUGAAAGACGGUUUUGCUGUCACUUAUAGAUGGAUCCGCGCCGCAUUAGCUAGUUGGUAAGGUAACGGCUUACCAAGGCAACGAUGCGUAGCCGACCUGAGAGGGUGAUCGGCCACACUGGAACUGAGACACGGUCCAGACUCCUACGGGAGGCAGCAGUAGGGAAUCUUCCGCAAUGGGCGAAGCCUGACGGAGCAACGCCGCGUGAGUGAUGAAGGUCUUCGGAUCGUAAAACUCUGUUAUUGGGGAAGAACAAAUGUGUAAGUAACUAUGCACGUCUUGACGGUACCUAAUCAGAAAGCCACGGCUAACUACGUG